GGGAGGGAAAGAUGCAAAGAACUUUGAAAAGAGAGUUAAAGAGUACCUGAAAUUGCUGAAAGGGAAGCAAAGGAAACCAGUGCGUUGUGCGUGUCAUAUU
Molecule: ribosomal RNA, 100 nt
Filed under: Mucochytrium quahogii
Lineage: Eukaryota; Bigyra; Thraustochytrida; Thraustochytriidae
Description: labyrinthulid quahog parasite QPX partial Eukaryotic large subunit ribosomal RNA
Rfam family: Eukaryotic large subunit ribosomal RNA
Source: RNAcentral